This is a long non-coding RNA of Pieris brassicae (large cabbage white), 216 nucleotides long. RefSeq lists it as uncharacterized. The transcript is spliced from 3 exons. Lineage: Eukaryota; Metazoa; Arthropoda; Insecta; Lepidoptera; Pieridae. The record is from RefSeq and is a predicted model, not a curated record.
UGUGUGCUUUAUAAAAUUGGAAUUACAUAAGUGUUUGGAAACAAUCAAAAUUGAACUCGCAGCUAUUAUUGCUGACAUGAAAUCAGGAGCUUGUGCUGUACAAGUUGACAACUGGUAACGCUACACGAGAACGCAGCAAUCCGAAGAUCAAUUCAUUACACUAUAUGUAAACUCUACUUAACUUAGUCAUGGGUGGGUCUUGCGUUGUAAAUGGUA